UGUUUCCGUAGGUGAACCUGCGGAAGGAUCAUUG
RNAcentral lists this ribosomal RNA (34 nucleotides) under uncultured fungus. Its description in RNAcentral is "partial 18S ribosomal RNA". Lineage: Eukaryota; Fungi. The record is from RNAcentral.